GCUCUUCCAAUCAUACCUGACCCAGCAGCUGUUAUCACACAUAAUUGACCCACACCUCCACACUCCCACAGCGAAUAGACGAAGCAGAAGACUAGACGAAGCUAGAAGACCAGACGAGCAGCAGAGGAAUUCCGAAGCGGAAGAAGACGAGACGAGAAUCAAGGAACUCCGAAGCGACUGGGUCUACGAUUUUUCUUCUCUCUCUCGAUCUGGGUCUGCGAUUGACGAAGCUAGAAGACCAGAUGAGCAGCAGAUCGAGGAACUCCGAAGAGGAAGAAGACCAGACGAGAAUUAAGGAACUCCGAAGCGAUUGGGUCUGCGAUUUUCUUCUCUCUCUCGAUCUGAGAUUAGGUCUCUCUCUCUCUCGAUCUGAAUUGAGGAUACAGACGUAUCCAAACCGUAUCCAAAUCAGGAUACGCGUUUCCGGACGUUUCCGUGCGUUUCCGACGCGUUUCGUACCCGUAUCCCGUUUCGAUACGGGAUACGGAUGCAAUUUGAAGUUUCCAUGCAUCAUAGCCAUUAACAGACUCAACCUUUAAAACCAACCCACCAUUACCAAAGACUCAACCUUUACAUCACACCCAACACCCAAAGACUCAACAAUUAAAAUCAACCUCACGAUGCGCCCAAUCGCCCAAUCCCCGUCACCCUCAUCCCCUCAACCAUUGCAACCCCACCGCAUCCACCUCCUAGUCCCACUUGCCGGCGCCGGCGCCGCCACCACCACUGCCUUCUCCCUCCUCGUCUGCUUCCUCAAAAUCACCCACAAACGCACCGCCCCCAAAGGCGACUCCAAGCCCCCUCACUCUCUCUAAAACACCCAACCGCAAACCUCUCCUUUUCUCUCUCUAAAACCCCAUUCCAGUCCAGUCCCUCCUCUUCUUCUCUCUUUCAAUCUGAGCCAACACCGCAAUUGUGAAAAAUUGUAGAUAGAUUGAUUGGUUUUUAGUUCAAGCCCACAAGAAGAAGAUCUUUGUGCCGGAGGUGGUGGUUGUAGGGGUUCGCAAUUUUGUGGGGUGUUUGUUGCCGGCCUGAUGGUCCGUUUCCAUGGCUUUGUGGUCGGCGGCCUCAACUGGUCUGCUCUCGGCGUCAGAAGGACCCGGAUCCGGGUGGAAUUUGCAAAGGGAUCCGGAUCUGGGAUCCAGGAGGGAGUUGGGCUUGGGCUGCGUCCCACUAUUUUUGUUGGACUAUUGCUCAUUUGCCAACAUGGUUUGGGGCUCCUAUGCGUUACUGGUUUUGGAUUCGGGACCCAAGUCUUUGGUAUCUGUUCGUGAAAGAUCGUCUGCCAACAUGGCCAUGUUCUGACACCCUUGGCCUGCUUCGAUCUUUAGGUGGGAGAGUGCCUUCAUUCCGACGCCAAGUUGAUUUUUGUCAGUUUGUGCGUUGGAGUUCCAUGGGUAGUCAAACCACCGACUACUCAAUUCACUACACGGCUGCAAUCGGUAGUGUAAAAUCAGCGUUGCGUCUCGACGUUGCUGCUCUUGCGUUAUUAAGUUUUUAUAUUUCAUAUGUAUUUUUCUUUUCGUACUGUUUUAUUCCCUUCUUGAUGUCUUUUGGCAUCGUAUCGUUGUAAUCUUUC
Rosa rugosa (rugosa rose) is the source of this 1579-nucleotide long non-coding RNA. RefSeq lists it as uncharacterized. The record is from RefSeq and is a predicted model, not a curated record. Lineage: Eukaryota; Viridiplantae; Streptophyta; Magnoliopsida; Rosales; Rosaceae. The transcript is spliced from 3 exons.